RNAcentral lists this long non-coding RNA (1283 nucleotides) under Hordeum vulgare. Its description in RNAcentral is "long non-coding RNA (HVUL_LNC008041)". Lineage: Eukaryota; Viridiplantae; Streptophyta; Magnoliopsida; Poales; Poaceae. The record is from RNAcentral.
ACAGAGACAGUGGUUUUCUCCAGCGAACAGCUUGCUGCUUUUCGGUUCUUCUAAUCCUCUUAUUCAGUAAGCAAAACAGACGUUUCCGCGAAGCUCGCAACAACCCAGUCGUGCCCCGCGCCAUCCCACGGGUUGGGUCGUGCCGCCUCUCUGAUCGCAAGGAGCACACAGAUCGUGCCCUCAUGCGCUGACGAAGGGAAAAACUAAACCUGACUAGAACGAAAAACUAGGGCAGCUCUCUGAAGGAGUAAACGCUGCUGUAACUACUGACGAAACUGAAACUAAUCUUAUUCUUACGCAGCUGAAAUACCCAACAUUGCAUUGCAUACAUGUAGUAGAGAUCAAUGGAGGCGGUACUAGUAGCUAGCAUGAAGCUGCAGGCAAUAGGAUGUGUUUUUCUUGUGCUAGGCAGAUCCUGAAUGGACAGAGGAGGAGUACACGAUGCUGGAGUCGAUGCCUUGUGAUGCUGACCUGUACUCAUUCCCAAUACCUUGCAAUCCUACAUAUACACACAUAGACAGUAUUUUUUUCCUUUUUUGAGGUAAGUACAUAGCUCUAUUUGAUGUGAGAUUAGUGGUGGAAUCAUUGAGAAACGUGUGUCUGUGCUCCGAGCAUAUAUAGCCCCCGAUGUUCCGCUGGCCAUGAAGUCAAGGAUGGCACCUGCCUGGUUGCUUGCUUGAUGAUUAUAAAUGGUCCAUGUGGAUCUCUACAAUAGUUUAUUGUAACCAAUGAUCCAAACGACAUUCAAGUGUUUGAAAGCUCGCCGUCCUCAAGGCACCAACAACAACAGUAACAUUGAUGAGGCCCGCGUAGUAUGGACAAGUCUUCACUUUAAGGACAUAGAGGGUGCUUGGAUACAUUUUAGUCUCAUGACUAAAAGUAAUGAGACUAAAACUUGCUAGCCUCAUCCAUGCUUGGAUCCAAAUAUUAAAGAGACUAAAAUCAAGUUAAUGAGCAUUUAUUAUCCUCCAAACCCUCCAAUCCAGAACUUGCUUCAGGUGUUAAAUGAGGAGAGAGAGGACUAAUGCACAUUCUAGUAAGGGUACCCCUGACUAAAAGAUUUUAGCCUUAAGACUAGUUUUAGCCUCUCUUUAGUCAGGGGUGAUUGAAACUUUAGCCUCUUAAAGAGACUAGUUUUAGUCCCUUGAAUCCAAGCACCCUCAUACUCCCUCCGUCCGGUAAAAACUGUAUUUUUUCCUUUUCUGUCAGUCAAACUAGUUGAACUUUUACUAACUUUAUUGAGAAAAGUGCUAGCAUUUAUGACAUCAAAUAAGUAUCAAUAG